GUAAAAACCCUCUUUUUCUCAUAAGUUCGUAAAACUACAGCUAGGGGUGCUAUAAUUAAAAAGAAAACUUUCCAAUUUUCUAAGUUAAUUAGCUCCGGCUCUAUAGCACGGAUCGGGCUGAAAUUUUGGUAGAGGGAGCGGAUUGAGCUAAAAAUUCUUCAUGAAUCUCUCUUAAACAUGCCUAAGAAACUUACUUAUGUUAUAAAGAAUAAGGUAAAUACCAAUUAUUAAAGCAUUCUUAUUGAUUAGGUUUUUUAAAUUUUCAUUUUAAAAAAAUUGAAUGAAUUUCGCUCUAAAUCAUCCAAAAAUUUAAUAUUUGGCUGGCGUACACGCACGAACGCAAAUGCACGAGGGUCAGUGUAUUGUGUUCUUCAAAUGACGUGAUUUGCAUAAAAUAAAUAAUAUUACUUUCUAUAUGCAUUGAUUAUAACAAUUAAUAAUUUGAAUGAAAUUUAUAUUUAUUUAGAAUGAAAAACCAAUCAAAUCUAAUACUAUUUUUUGAAUCAAUAGCAUAAGUAUUUGAAAAAAAGGAAACUACAUUCAGAUCUAUGACUGAUUCCAUCAGUACGGAAAACAUUAAAACGAGUCAGUCUUGAAGAAGCCGCUGAGUUGAAAAGUUGUCACACAAAUUAUUUCCAAUCUAUUUGAAAAUGAAAAAAAACUAAAAAAUGGUUACAGUGGAUAAGUAAACUUAUAAAGUUGCAAAAAUCAUCAAGUGAUCGACAAAGAAAUUUGAUAAAGUGUUGGAAAUCGUUAGAUUGGGUAAGUAAAAAAAUGUUUGCCAGAAAAGUAUUAACCAUAUUCGGUAAAUUAAAUUAAAUUUAUUUCUUCUUUUAAGCUAAAAUGGAAUGUCAAACUUUUUAUUAUUUUAUUUAAAUUUAAAAUUCGUCGUAAGAAUUUUUUAUUAUUUAAUAUUUUACUAACGAUUUGUAAUUUUCGAUAUUGUUCAAGUUCAAUCGAUCAUCCUGAUUGCAAGUCAUUGUUGAUUGGAAACGUCCGUGAGCAGAAGCUGGAAAAUUAUCACCAUAUCUGUUUUAUCGAACUACUUUUCUUCAAAAAUUCCAUCUAGGAGAGACCUAAAUAGUAUCAAGGACAAUCAUUGUCUUUUCCAUGGAAUUGGAAAAGUGAUUCGCAGAUAGCAGCAGAACUCAGAGCAAACAGUAAAGGACGUAAAUCUGCAAAACACAACUUAGAAAAGUGAGCGCUGUAAUAAAAGUAGACGAGGAGCACUACCACUGAUCAAAUUUCAUUAUGUCAUCGUUUAUCUUUACGGGGCAAAAGACAAUCAGUCUUUUGAAGUAUCUUAUUUCUUCUGAAACUGGUAAACACUAUUGGGAGAAAGCAGAAGAGCAUACAUCCAAAAGCUGAGAAGAAGACUUCACGAAACUACUAGAAAGUCGUGCAACACCCCAUAGAAAUUAAUGUAAUACAAUUUUAUUGUGAAUACACAUUAUUUAUGUCAAAUAAAUUUAUUUUUGAAAUCAUAGCAAGAGUUUUUUAAAUAUACCCUGGUACUGUUAUAUCUACCCGAGGAUAUUAUUUGAAUUAAUGUGGACGAAUAUCAAAGCAAACAUAUUUGCCAUUGAAUCUAUGGUAAAGAACAUUUAAAUAUACCAAGGAAAUUUUUAAUUUUACCCAUUGUGUAUUUAAAUUAAUGGUAACUCGUAGUUAAAACAAAUAUUUCUACUAUUGAAACUAUGGUAGUGUUACCCAGAAAUUUUUGAUUCUACCCAUGAAAGUGUUUAAAAUCCACUUUAGAAAUAAAGUGCAAAUGUAUUUGAUUUAAAAGACAUGUUUUCUUUUCAAAUACAGUGCCAUUCAAAAUAAAUACAAAUAUAUUUGUUGUGGCUAUGAUUACUGCCUUUCAGAUCAAAUGUAAAAAUAUUUGAAGUAAAAGUCGUCUGUAUUCAAAUCAAAUAAAACAUUAGAAACAAAUGUAUUCUACCAUUGGGGCCAAAAUACCCAUAAUUUCAUUUGAUUUUACCCAGAAAAACAUUAAUACUACCCAUAAAA
Long non-coding RNA from Phlebotomus papatasi, 2013 nucleotides. RefSeq lists it as uncharacterized. The record is from RefSeq and is a predicted model, not a curated record. The transcript is spliced from 3 exons. NCBI's taxonomy places the organism in Eukaryota, Metazoa, Arthropoda, Insecta, Diptera, Psychodidae.